RNAcentral lists this transfer RNA (74 nucleotides) under Actinomycetota bacterium. Its description in RNAcentral is "tRNA-Gly". It matches the Rfam family "tRNA". Rfam says of the family: Transfer RNA (tRNA) molecules are approximately 80 nucleotides in length. Their secondary structure includes four short double-helical elements and three loops (D, anti-codon, and T loops). The record is from RNAcentral. Lineage: Bacteria; Bacillati; Actinomycetota.
GCGGAAGUAGCUCAGCUGGUAGAGCGUAACCUUGCCAAGGUUAAGGCCGCGGGUUCGAACCCCGUCUUCCGCUC